This is a long non-coding RNA of Notolabrus celidotus (New Zealand spotty), 253 nucleotides long. RefSeq lists it as uncharacterized. NCBI's taxonomy places the organism in Eukaryota, Metazoa, Chordata, Actinopteri, Labriformes, Labridae. The record is from RefSeq and is a predicted model, not a curated record. The transcript is spliced from 2 exons.
UCUUUGUUUGCAAACAAACUGUACUUUCAGAGGAGGAAAAAAGUCCAGGACAAACGUGACGGCGGUGGAUAAAUACACCCAGAUAUAACGAGUUGUUUUGACGUUACUUACAUGAAGGUGAGCAGGAAGGAGGAGUAACGUUUGAACAAAGGAUGUCACAACUUCCUUACUCUGUUGCAAAACAUUUCUGAGAGCUCCAUGCUGAGUUCUCUGAAAGGGUCCUUGAUGUGAUCAAUAAACCAGUUUGAAGCCA